This 451-nucleotide ribosomal RNA is filed under the name uncultured bacterium. RNAcentral's name for it is "bacterial SSU rRNA". It matches the Rfam family "Bacterial small subunit ribosomal RNA", at positions 354 to 796 of the family's 1533-position model. The record is from RNAcentral.
GUGAGGAAUAUUGCGCAAUGGGGGAAACCCUGACGCAGCGAUGCCGCGUGGGUGAAGAAGGCCUUCGGGUCGUAAAGCCCUGUCAAGUGGGAAGAAUAGCGUGGAGACGAAUAAUCUCCGCGUAUGACGGUACCACUGAAGGAAGCACCGGCUAACUCCGUGCCAGCAGCCGCGGUAAGACGGAGGGUGCAAGCGUUAUUCGGAUUUAUUGGGCGUAAAGAGCGUGUAGGCGGCCGGUCAAGCCAGAUGUGAAAGCCCAGGGCUUAACCCUGGAAGUGCAUUUGGAACUGGUUGGCUUGAGUUCGGGAGAGGGAAGUGGAAUUCCGGGUGUAGAGGUGAAAUUCGUAGAUAUCCGGAGGAACACCGGUGGCGAAGGCGACUUCCUGGACCGAAACUGACGCUGAGACGCGAAAGCGUGGGGAGCAAACAGGAUUAGAUACCCUAGUAGUCC